UUGGAGGGCAAGUCUGGUGCCAGCAGCCGCGGUAAUUCCAGCUCCAAUAGCGUAUAUUAAAGUUGUUGCAGUUAAAAAGCUCGUAGUUGAAUUUCGGGAUCGACGGGUCGGUCGCGCCUCUGGUGUGUACUGGCCCUGUCGGUUUCUCCCUUCUGACGAACCACGAUGUCAUUAAUUUGGUGUCGUGGGAAAUCAGGACUGUUACUUUGAAAAAAUUAGAGUGUUUAAAGCAGGCAUUCGCUUGAAUACAUUAGCAUGGAAUAAUGAAAUAGGACGUUUGAUCUUAUUUUGUUGGUUUCUAAGAUCGACGUAAUGAUUAAUAGGGAUAGUUGGGGGCAUUAGUAUUCAAUUGUCAGAGGUGAAAUUCUUGGAUUUAUUGAAGACUAACUACUGCGAAAGCAUUUGCCAAGGAUGUUUUCAUUAAUCAAGAACGAAAGUUAGGGGAUCGAAGACGAUCAGAUACCGUCGUAGUCUUAACCAUAAACUAUGCCGACUAGGGAUCGGAUGAUGUUGAUUUUUUAAUGACUCAUUCGGCGCCUUACGGGAAAC
RNAcentral lists this ribosomal RNA (549 nucleotides) under uncultured Glomus. RNAcentral's name for it is "SSU rRNA". It matches the Rfam family "Eukaryotic small subunit ribosomal RNA", at positions 548 to 1098 of the family's 1831-position model. The record is from RNAcentral. Lineage: Eukaryota; Fungi; Glomeromycota; Glomeromycetes; Glomerales; Glomeraceae.